UACGGGGGGAGCAAGCGUUGUUCGGAUUUACUGGGCGUAAAGGGCGCGUAGGCGGUCAGCACAAGUCAGUUGUGAAAUCUCCGGGCUUAACUCGGAAAGGUCAACUGAUACUGUGCGACUAGAGUGCAGAAGGGGCAACUGGAAUUCUCGGUGUAGCGGUGAAAUGCGUAGAUAUCAGGAGGAACACCGAUGGCGAAGGCAGGUCUCUGGGCAUUAACUGACGCUGAGGAGCGAAAGCAUGGGGAGCGAACAGG
This 254-nucleotide ribosomal RNA is filed under the name uncultured bacterium. RNAcentral's name for it is "partial 16S ribosomal RNA". It matches the Rfam family "Bacterial small subunit ribosomal RNA", at positions 524 to 776 of the family's 1533-position model. The record is from RNAcentral.